Molecule: ribosomal RNA, 207 nt
Filed under: uncultured bacterium
Lineage: Bacteria
Description: partial 16S ribosomal RNA
Rfam family: Bacterial small subunit ribosomal RNA
Source: RNAcentral
CUCGUAGGUGGCCAACUAAGUCAUACGUGAAAUCCCUCGGCUUAACCGGGGAACUGCGUCUGAUACUGGAUGGCUUGAGUUUGGGAGAGGGAUGCGGAAUUCCAGGUGUAGCGGUGAAAUGCGUAGAUAUCUGGAGGAACACCGGUGGCGAAGGCGGCAUCCUGGACCAAUACUGACACUGAGGAGCGAAAGCCAGGGGAGCAAACG